Lotus japonicus is the source of this 1382-nucleotide long non-coding RNA. RefSeq lists it as uncharacterized. The record is from RefSeq and is a predicted model, not a curated record. The transcript is spliced from 6 exons. Lineage: Eukaryota; Viridiplantae; Streptophyta; Magnoliopsida; Fabales; Fabaceae.
GUACAUGAAAACCCAAACUCAUUCAUUCACGAAAAAAACUAAGUUCUCAACUCCUGCACCCAAACCCUAAACCCUAUUACUCACAAACCUUCCCUUUCUCUUCCCCUUCCCACCACGUUCUUCAUCCGACUCUUCACCACGACGUCGUUCUCCGUGAAGAAACCUUCACCAGAGUCUACGACCUCGCAGCCGCUCCUGCUCGUUGCUAAGCCUCGCCGCCGCUCCUGCUCCUUGCUAAGUCUCGCCGCCGCUCGUUCUCUGUGACUCGCCGCCGCUCCUGCUCUGUGAAUCGGUUUGCUUACAAGAUUCUUCACUUGUGGGUAGUGUUGUUGAAAGUCUCAAAACUUCUGGCCUGCUUCGUGCUGCUGAAAUUGCAACUUCUUUGAGUGAUUCAGGACAAAAGUGGUUUGGGCAUCUUCUAGGUGUUAAUCUCCAAAGCAUUGAGUGAUCCAUCAGGUUCUUUGUAAACCUUUAUUAUCACUUCAUUUAUCAAUUACUUUCAUAAUUCUUUGGAAUUUGGAUGUUCUAUCUGUUUCUUUGAUGCCAAAAGAUCAUGAAACUUGCUUUUUAAAUACAAAACUAUUCUUUCAUCUUUUCUUUACAUACAAAGACUUGCAUUGUUAUCUAACUGUUAAAAGAGAAAGAAUUAUUCUGAAUUGAAAUUGUGUGUGAUUUAAUUAUGUGUGAUGACAAAGCUGUUGAAAUUGCUGCUGAAAUUGAGCUAUUUAAACUGCUUCUUGGGACUGUUAUUUGCAUUCUGAAUUGCAGGGAACAAAGAUGACAAGGGGAGCUAUCUCCAUGAAGUGAUGCACAAUAGGAAGAUUUUUUGCAAGUUGUUGCAGGGCCACGUCUUCUUGCUCUUGUUGGAUCGCCCUCCUUGUUGCUUGUCAUCUAUGCAUUGUUCAAUUCUCUGGUUUUGGAUUUGGUGCCAGUGUUGAUUAGGCCGGUGAUUGUGAAGAAAGCUGACAAAACUGGUAUUCCAGUAAGAAUUGGUAAGAAGAACCCAUAUGACUGGACUUAUGCAGAGGCUGAGUUAAAAAGGCACCUUGGAGAAAAGAUUUUUAUUUAUGGGUUCAAAGUUGCUCACCUCCGCUGCUCUCCUAAUUUAUGCUUAUGGUGCUGGUGGCUUUCCUGCUUGGGGCAUUAAUUUGCUGAACUGUUGCAGUUUUGCUGAAUUGUUGCUGUGUUGUUGUUUAACUAUUUUGUCCUAAUUUCAUGAGCUGUUGCUGUUUAACUACAUUUAAAGAACUAGAAUUGCUGAAUUGUUCUAGUUCUUUUAGGCUAUUAUGUUUUUUUGCUGGGACCUUGGAUGUUUAACUCAUUUGAGAGAGUGUGUUCUCAAGAUCUCUUUUUAUUUUAAUAAAUUUUCAUUAAAAACAAAA